UGUCAACGAGUAAGACCUUCUGGCCCGAAAGGGUUGGAUAAACUGGUCAAUCACCGUCAUGACAGGGAUCGGGGCUUGGAAUUAUUCCCCGUGAACGAGGAAUUCCUAGUAAGUGCAAGUCAUAAGCUUGCGCUGAUUACGUCCCUGCCCUUUGUACACACCGCCCGUCGCUACUACCGAUUGAAUGGUUUAGUAAGGUCCUUGGAUCGACGCCUUUGUAGCUGCCACCGAAAGGUGUGCAGCUCGUGUGGUGUUGAGAAGACGACCAAAC
Molecule: ribosomal RNA, 271 nt
Filed under: Trichocephaloidis megalocephala
Lineage: Eukaryota; Metazoa; Platyhelminthes; Cestoda; Cyclophyllidea; Dilepididae
Description: partial 18S ribosomal RNA
Rfam family: Eukaryotic small subunit ribosomal RNA
Source: RNAcentral